GGGUGGGCUCGCAGUGGACCGAGGGAGGGCGUGCAGCCCAGAGGAAAAGCCCCGAAAACCGAGCCCUGCUGUUUUUCUUUUGCACUGGGUCCACCCAGUGGUACAGCCUGUCCUGCCUUCAUGCUUUGGUUCCCCCCAGUGUACAACUUCUCUCUCCAGUGGGCUGUUCAGAUCCAACCCUCGCCCACACUCAGCCAGCAAGGAGUGCCCAGGGAUUGAACAUGCGGCCAUGGAGUAUCGGGAUGACUGUCUAACCACUUGAACUGCCCGGCCAGGCAGGAAUGAAGGUCUGACACAGGGUACGACAUGGACACAGCUUGAAAACAUGCCGAGUGAAGAUGCCAGGCAGAAAAGGCCACAUACUGUAUGGUUCCAUUUAUAUGAGAUGUCCAGAAUCAGCAGGUCAAUAGAGAUGGAAACUAGAAUACUGGUUGCUAGGGGCCGGGGCGCAGGGAUUGGAGAAUAACUGUUAGUGGCGGCAGGUUUUCUUUUGGAAGAAAUACGGCUGUUCUAAAAUUGAUUGUGGUGAUGGUUGCACAACAUGGUGAACAUACUAAAAACAUCGAAUUGUAUAGUUUAAAAUGGUAAGUUGUGUGGUAUGUGAAUUAUAUCUCAAUAAAGCUCUUACUGAAAAAAUAUUAGCCAGACUUCCCUGCAUUAAUGCUGACAGAAAGCAUCAGGAAGUGGACUCAAGAACUUGCCGAGUGACUGGGGAAGAUUCUUUGCGGUUACAUUGCCAUAGUACUCAUGAAACGAUUGCAGACAAGUGACUUGGGGUAGAGGAGGCUUUGAUCCAUCCUUUAGGCCCCAGCAUGUGCUACCUCUGAGAGUGGCCCCUUACCUCGUAACCGUCUUUUUGUGACUUCCCAUCAGCCUCAGCCCUUCCUUCUUUUUUUCCUCUUUAGCACUUCACAAACUUGGAAUCAUUUUCUGUCCAUGCAUAUGAUUUUGUGACUCUCACUGGGUUCCACGAGGUCAGGGUUUUGUCCGUAUCUGGUUUGCCCACAGUAGGUGCUCAACAAAUACCUGUUAAGUGAAUGAACCCAUGCAGGGUAAGGAAAAAGUAGGUUUAUGGUUGUGAGUACAAGAAACAUAGAGUUUACUCUUGUGUUGUUAUUUAUUAAUCAGUGUAUUAUUUUCUACAUAAACAACUGUAAAUCCAUUUCUGCCCUGUCCUGUAUAUGCUGUUU
Molecule: long non-coding RNA, 1190 nt
Organism: Artibeus jamaicensis (Jamaican fruit-eating bat)
Lineage: Eukaryota; Metazoa; Chordata; Mammalia; Chiroptera; Phyllostomidae
Exons: 3
Source: RefSeq, a predicted model, not a curated record